GACGAACGCUGGCGGCGUGCUUAACACAUGCAAGUCGAACGGAAAGGCCCCUUUGGGGGUACUCGAGUGGCGAACGGGUGCGUAACACGUGAGUAACCUGCCCUUGACUUCGGGAUAACUUCAGGAAACUGGGGCUAAUACCGGAUAGGAAUCCUUGCUGCAUGGUGGGGGUUGGAAAGCUUCGGCGGUUUUGGAUGGACUCGCGGCUUAUCAGCUUGUUGGUGGGGUAGUGGCUUACCAAGGCUUUGACGGGUAGCCGGCCUGAGAGGGCGACCGGCCACAUUGGGACUGAGAUACGGCCCAGACUCCUACGGGAGGCAGCAGUGGGGAAUAUUGCACAAUGGGCGGAAGCCUGAUGCAGCAACGCCGCGUGCGGGAUGACGGCCUUCGGGUUGUAAACCGCUUUCAGCAGGGGCGAAGCUUGUGGUGACGGUACCUGCAGAGGAAGCACCGGCUAACUACGUG
This 465-nucleotide ribosomal RNA is filed under the name uncultured bacterium. RNAcentral describes it as "partial 16S ribosomal RNA". It matches the Rfam family "Bacterial small subunit ribosomal RNA", at positions 28 to 507 of the family's 1533-position model. The record is from RNAcentral.